CAACCGGGACUUUCCGGGCAGGGCUCCCCAGCGUGGGUUCAGCCAAUUAAGGAAGCAAUUAGCUUCCCAUGAGCCUAUUCAUGCUUCCUCGCCCACAGUUCCAAGGUUCUGUGAGACCAGAGCCUCCGUCUCCCGUGGGCAGAGGGUGUGUGUGGCUGCCACUAAUCUGCAGACGCUGGCUCCACCCCACAGAGUUGCAGGGCCAGGAAAUGUGCAUUUGAACCGACCCUUGCUUUCACACUUCAGAAACGGCUGGAAGCACCUCUCAAGUCUGACACAGCAGGUGGAUGCAGAAUGCUGGGAGACCUAUAAUAAUCAGCCUUUUGCAACAAGCACUUUUUCUUCCUAUUCAUUAUUGCCGCGUUUUAAGAGGAGAAGGGAGCGACUGCUCUUACAGGGCUACAGAGACAUGGAGACACGCUGGGGGAGGCUGCUCUGUCACCAGAGGCCUCCCCAUGAAGUAUGAGAAAGCUCUUCAGCCGGAAGCAGCUGAUCUGAAGGAAAUCAGAGGCUGAUGGGGGGGACGGCGCUACACACUUGAGCUAAUGCGCAGUCGUGGUGGCAGUGGCACGGAUCACAGUAGGAGUCCCAAUGUGUUGGACGCUGGGUGAAGGCCUGGGAGCGAGAUGGGACUCAUGCCCACCCCCAACCCACCUCCCCUGAGCACC
Non-coding RNA from Callithrix jacchus (white-tufted-ear marmoset), 668 nucleotides. NCBI's taxonomy places the organism in Eukaryota, Metazoa, Chordata, Mammalia, Primates, Cebidae. The record is from RefSeq and is a predicted model, not a curated record.